CAACCCUCAAGCUCUGCUUGGUAUUAAGCUUCACCUGUACAGGCGGGCUUUAAAAUCAGUGGCGGUGCCAUUUGGCUUCAAGCGUAGUAAUUUUCUCGCUUUGGAUUACCAGAUGUGUGCUUGCCAGCAACCCCAAUUUUAUCAAA
RNAcentral lists this unclassified non-coding RNA (146 nucleotides) under uncultured Helotiales. RNAcentral's name for it is "sequence contains ITS2". Lineage: Eukaryota; Fungi; Ascomycota; Leotiomycetes; Helotiales. The record is from RNAcentral.